Molecule: ribosomal RNA, 493 nt
Filed under: uncultured bacterium
Lineage: Bacteria
Description: partial 16S ribosomal RNA
Rfam family: Bacterial small subunit ribosomal RNA
Source: RNAcentral
GACGAACGCUGGCGGCGUGCUUAACACAUGCAAGUCGAGCGAUGAAAGCCUUAUGAACUAUUCGUAGUGAUUGGGGCCGGAUUAGCGGCGGACGGGUGAGUAACGCGUGAGCAACCUGCCUUAAACAACGGGAUAGCCUCGGGAAACCGGGAUUAAUACCGUAUGAGACCCCGCCUUCACAUGAAGAAGAGGUUAAAGAUUAUCGGUUUAAGAUGGGCUCGCGUCUGAUUAGCUAGUUGGUGAGAUAAAAGCCCACCAAGGCAACGAUCAGUAAACGGCUUGAGAGAGUGAACGGUCACAUUGGAACUGAGACACGGUCCAAACUCCGACGGGAGGCAGCAGUGGGGAAUAUUACACAAUGGGGGAAACCCUGAUGCAGCGACGCCGCGUGAGCGAUGAAGGAAUUCGUUUCGUAAAGCUCUGUCCAAGGGGAAGAUAAUGACAGUACCCUUGGAGGAAGCCCCGGCUAAAUACGUGCCAGCCGCCGCCGUAA